RNAcentral lists this small RNA (1068 nucleotides) under Pyricularia oryzae. Its description in RNAcentral is "Magnaporthe oryzae sRNA M_BR32_EuGene_00141671". Lineage: Eukaryota; Fungi; Ascomycota; Sordariomycetes; Magnaporthales; Pyriculariaceae. The record is from RNAcentral.
AAAUAUUUUAUAUAAAUAAUGCGGUUAUAAAUUAUACCGGUACCAAUUUUAAUAAAAGCGGGCGUAAAGGGAACGCGAACGUUUUUUUGGGCAAAACCUACCGCAAAACCAAUUUUAAAAAAUAUAAUAAAAAUAACAAAAAUCGAUUUAAUAUAAAAAAAUCGCGACCAAAACACAAAAAUAACGCGUAUAAAAAAUUAACGAAAUUUCGUAUCGGAAAAUAAAAAAAAAAAAAAAAAAAAUUUAAUUGAAAAUUUUUUCGUCAAAAAUUAAAAAGGUAAUUAACGUUUAAACCAGGUGGGGUUUACGAAUUGUUAACGUUAUAACCCAUUAUUUGUAACCCAAUACCGCCGUUUAUUAAUGGAAACCUACGCGAAACAAUUGCGUUUUAUUUGCGUUUAUUAAAAAUUACCCCGUUUUAUAUUUAAAAUUGCUAUUUAAAACGAAAACGCCCUUAUUAAAAAAGGGAUAAUUAUUACGUGCAAAUUUAUUAGUAUUUAAAUGCUAACGUACAAUUUUAGAGGCUGGGUUUUGUUAAAUUUGUAAAUUCGCGUUACGUAAACGCAAUAGGAACGCCGCUUAUAAAUAAAGGUUUUUAAAUCCUAAAAAUAGCAAAUUAAUCCUAAAUCCUUAAAAAUCAGUUUUUAAUCCAAAUGUUAUUAUUCUAAUGCUGUCGUGGAUUAUUAUACGCUAUAUUAUUACCCUAUAUAUUAUUAAUUACCGUGUACCUAACCUGUACCCAGUCCACGGUUGUAAUAAAAUCCCAAAUAUAAACGGCCGAAAAUAUAUUUUUUUAACUUAUAUUUUUAAAACGGACGAAAAAAAUAAAAAUUUUAUUCCAAACCAAUGCGCCGAAAUUAGUUAUAUUUUUAAUUUUAUUAAUUAUUGGUAUUAUAAUAAUUACACCCCGGUUAAUAUAAAAAAUAAAAUAAAAUAAACGGUACGUUAUAAAUUUUCGGUAACGGAAAUAUUAUAUUUCGUUUCCAAUUACCCGCUAAAAAAAUAUACCGGCCGGAAAAUAUAAUACCAGCUGUUUAAUUUAUUUGGUAUUAUUACCUAUAAAAAAAU